UACGUAGGGUGCGAGCGUUAAUCGGAAUUACUGGGCGUAAAGCGUGCGCAGGCGGUUAUUUAAGUCAGGUGUGAAAGCCCCGAGCUUAACUUGGGAAUAGCGCUUGAGACUGGAUAGCUUGGAGUGUGGCAGAGGGAGGUGGAAUUCCACGUGUAGCAGUGAAAUGCGUAGAGAUGUGGAGGAACACCGAUGGCGAAGGCAGCCUCCUGGGCCAGCACUGACGCUCAUGCACGAAAGCGUGGGGAGCAAACAGG
Molecule: ribosomal RNA, 254 nt
Filed under: uncultured bacterium
Lineage: Bacteria
Description: partial 16S ribosomal RNA
Rfam family: Bacterial small subunit ribosomal RNA
Source: RNAcentral